RNAcentral lists this ribosomal RNA (207 nucleotides) under uncultured bacterium. Its description in RNAcentral is "partial 16S ribosomal RNA". It matches the Rfam family "Bacterial small subunit ribosomal RNA", at positions 568 to 774 of the family's 1533-position model. The record is from RNAcentral.
CGUGUAGGCGGUUUGGCAAGUCAGAGGUGAAAUGCCCCGGCUCAACCGGGGACCUGCCUUUGAAACUGCCGAACUUGAGGCCGUGAGGGGAGACUGGAAUUCCUAGUGUAGCGGUGAAAUGCAUAGAUAUUAGGAAGAACACCAGUGGCGAAGGCGAGUCUCUGGCACGGUUCUGACGCUGAGGCGCGAAAGCUAGGAGAGCGAACG